Molecule: long non-coding RNA, 360 nt
Filed under: Pan troglodytes (chimpanzee)
Lineage: Eukaryota; Metazoa; Chordata; Mammalia; Primates; Hominidae
Description: lincRNA
Source: RNAcentral
UUACACUCAGAAAGAGAGUGAACAACUAGAAGAUGUGGAAGAAAAUUCCAAGGGCCAAUUUUGAAACAAACCAGGCAGAGAGACCCAGAUGCAGAAUCCUGCAGGCUGAGGGAUGUCAGGAAGAGUUAGCCCACCACUGCUGCGCUGAAACCAGGAUGAUGCAAACUGGGCCUCAGGCCAGGCUUAGAAUAUAAACUGACACCUUGAAGAAGUGACCAUCUUGUAAUCAACACUUUAUUCUAAGGAUAACAGAGAUAAAUCAUAUAAGGAUCUCUGUUUCUUAAUGGCAUUGUUGAGCCCUAAACAUUCUACUGCUAGAUAUUUUAUUGCAUGAAAUAAAUAAACCUUAGUUGCUUAAAA